Molecule: RNA transcript, 3426 nt
Organism: Morus notabilis
Lineage: Eukaryota; Viridiplantae; Streptophyta; Magnoliopsida; Rosales; Moraceae
Gene name: serine/threonine-protein phosphatase 6 regulatory subunit 3
Exons: 21
Source: RefSeq, a predicted model, not a curated record
GGACUACCACGUUUGUACUUUUACAAAUUUCAGCCCUCUUUUCUCUCUCUCUCUCUCUCUGUCUCAACAAUUAGGCUUUGCUCGUAGCUUACCAAUUUUUUUUUUCUUGGGAUCUCUCUAAUUUUUCUUUCCUGCUCUCGAUCUUCACGGCCUUUUGCCUCCUUUCGAUCUUCCCUAUUUCGAAAUUAGGGUUUCCCACUCCAAAAAGCGCCUUCUCCGGUCUUUCUCUCUCUUCCCUCCCUCAAAUCUUGAGCUCUCCGCCUCACUCUUCCUCUCCGACGACGACGGCGGCUCUCCCUAGGGUUUGUAGAUCUAACCGCCUCUUGCUCCGUCCUCUGCUGAAUCGCUCCUUUCCUUCGACAUGUUCUGGAAACUCACUGCUCUCUCCGCCUCCUCGCCGGUCGAGUCGGUUCUUGACAAGGAGAAUUUCACUUUGGAGGAGCUUCUAGAUGAAGAGGAAAUAAUCCAAGAAUGCAAAGCCUUAAACAGUCGUCUCAUUAAUUUUUUACGAGAUAGAGCUCAAGUGGAACAAUUAUUGAGAUAUAUUGUUGAAGAGCCUCCGGAGGAUGCUGAAAGCAAACGGGCCUUCAAGUUCCCAUUCAUUUCAUGUGAGAUUUUUACAUGUGAAAUUGAUGUUAUUUUGAAGACUUUGGUGGAGGAAGAGGAGCUUAUGAUUCUGCUUUUCUCCUUCUUGGAACCUAAUCGUCCUCAUAGUGCAUUGCUGGCUGGGUACUUUAGCAAGGUGGUUGUAUGCCUCAUGAUACGGAAGACAGUCCCACUUAUGAAUUAUGUUCAAGCCCACCAGGAUGUUUUCCGCCAAUUAGUUGAUUUGAUUGGAAUUACUUCUAUCAUGGAGGUUUUAGUUCGACUUGUGGGUGCUGAUGACCAUGUGUAUCCGAAUUUUAUAGAUGUCAUGCAAUGGUUGGCUGAGAGUAAUUUGCUGGAAAUGAUUGUGGAUAAAUUGAGCCCUUCAUGCCCUCCUGAAGUUCAUGCCAAUGCAGCUGAAACACUAUGUGCUAUAACUCGAAAUGCCCCAUCAUCCCUGGCCACUAGACUUUCUAGCCCAAGUUUUGUAGCAAGGAUUUUUGCUCAUGCAUUGGAAGAUUCACAUUCGAAGUCUGGCCUUGUGCACUCACUUUCUGUUUGUAUAUCUUUGUUGGAUCCAAAAAGAUCCAUGGGUUCUUCUCCCCUAUUUCAUUCAUACCGUAGCCAACAUAUGUACGAUAGCUCAAUCCCUGUUAAUCCAGAGACACUGGGCGCUAUGCUUCCUAAACUUGGUGACUUGCUAGUGCUUUUGAAUGUGUCAUCUGAUGAGAAGGUAUUGCCUACGACGUAUGGGGAACUAAGGCCUCCUCUUGGAAAGCAUCGGUUAAAGAUUGUUGAAUUCAUUGCUGUAUUGUUGAGAUCUUCUAACGAAGCUGCAGAAAAGGAGUUAGUGAACUCAGGAACCAUUAAACGAGUCAUUGAUCUUUUCUUUGAGUACCCAUACAAUAACGCAUUGCAUCAUCAUAUAGAGAGUGUGAUAAUGUCUUGUUUAGAGAGCAAGAAUGAUGACAUUGUUGAUCAUCUUCUCCGAGACUGUGAUUUGGUUGGAAAAUUUCUCAAAACAGAUAAACAUCCCAUUCUAUCUGGUGACGAUAGUAAGCCAACUGUACCUGCUGCUGGAAAACGGGCACCACGGGCAGGAAAUCUUGGACACAUUACACGGAAUGCUAAUAAGCUUGUUCAGCUGAGAAACAGCCAGAGCCGCAUUCAAGCAUUUUUUCAGGAAAAUAGCGAAUGGAACGAGUGGCAGACGACAGUCUUGCAGGAACGUAAUGCAGUUGAAAAUGUUUAUAGAUGGGCUUGUGGCCGACCAACUGCGUUGCAUGAUAGGACAAGGGACAGUGAUGACGAUGACCUGACUGACAGAGAUUAUGAUGUGGCAGCUCUAGCGAAUAAUCUAAGUCAGGCGUUUAGAUACAAAAUAUAUGGGAAUGAGGAUGCAGAAGAGGACCAUGGAGCUAUUGAUCGUGAUGAUGAGGAUGUCUACUUUGAUGAUGAAUCUGCCGAAGUUGUUAUAUCAUCUCUUCGACUUGGUGAUGACCAAGGGAGCAGUCUAUUCACCAAUUCCAACUGGUUUGCAUUCCAAGAUGACAGAAUUGGUAAUGCGCCUGUUGGAACAUCACCCUCAGAGAUGAUGGAAGACAUCAACUUGAAUGGAACUGCAAAUGGUGGCAAUAGCAGCAGUGAUGAUGAGGUUGUUGUUGGGGAGGAUGAUGAGCUCGCUGGAAACAAGGAUUCUAUUAAUGGAACAUCUAGUUCCACCCCGAAUGGAUUCAAUGGCAGCAGCUCAAUGAGCAGUGGAAGCUUGAACCCAGAUGGUGCGAAGGCAAGUGCGUCCAAUUCCGGUGACAUGGGAUUCUUUAAAUUUGUUACGCCAGACAACGAGGACUUGUUUGGAGAUAGGCCUUUACCUGAGUGGGUUGGAUGGGGUGACUCGUCAGAUUUGCAAGUUGGUGGUUCGAGUGUUAAUCCGUUUGUUGAUUGUGAUAACUCCGAUGCUGAAAUGUCGAGUCAUAAUGAGCCGGUGACACCUGGCGUAAGUUCCCCGUCAGGUGCUGAAUCUGUUCUACUAAAUGGCUCUCCAACCACUACAAGCUCUUCUGAAGGAUCGGCGGGAAGUGGUUCUGGCCAGAGAUCUGUUGCUGUGCCCUCAUUGUUUGAGGAGGAUGUUGAAUUUGUAGGCGUGGAAUUAGAAGGUACCGAAAAGGCUAUGGAGCAAGCUCUUAAAGAGGGGAUAGUUGGGGAGGCAGGGCCAUUGAAGAGAAAUGCUAUCCAAAAGGUACAAGAGAAGGAGAAUUCUGAUGAAGGUGCACCUGGAAUGAAGGAGUUCAAUGAUGCAAAUUAUUGGAGGGUUGAUCAAGAGGUGGCAGUUCUUGAGUGAUGAUGGGUGGAUCCUGCUUAGGCUGUUUGAACCCAAAAGUCGGGUCCAACGGCCUUGGGCCCCAUUUUUUGGUUGCUAAUGGCUUAUGCAGCAGAGAUAAUGUACAGUAUAUGGGAUGGAUGGUCCUGUAAUUCACUCUUUGUUUUAGUUUUGCAUUCGAGUUUUUCUUGACUUGCGUUGGACUUGAGAUAGCGUUAAAGCUGAAGACAUCAACUUUCUUUCCAUCCUGCUUGACAGUGAAAGGUAUUAUUGCGUAGUUGGGAGUACAAAUUACAAGGCGUCCUUGUAUACGUGAAACAGGAUUGAUUGUUAACUUGGGGAAUGUGAAAUUUGUUGAAUAUGGGUUAUUCCGGUGAUAAAAUAGGAAAUCUCCCUUCGUUGUUUUUCUGAAAAAAACGAAUUGUGAUGCCUGUAUAUACAGAAUUCCAUUAGGUGGACUGACCUGGAUUUAGAUGUUCGGAAGACUCGGUAGGCCAUAAUAAUCAUCACACUUCUGUUAA